GAUGAACGCUGGCGGCGUGCCUAAUACAUGCAAGUCGAGCGAACGGACGAGAAGCUUGCUUCUCUGAUGUUAGAGGCGGACGGGUGAGUAACACGUGGAUAACCUACCUAUAAGACUGGGAUAACUUCGGGAAACCGUAGCUAAUACCGGAUAAUAUUUUGAACCGCAUGGUUCAAAAGUGAAAGACGGUCUUGCUGUCACUUAUAGAUGGAUCCGCGCUGCAUUAGCUAGUUGGUAAGGUAACGGCUUACCAAGGCAACGAUGCAUAGCCGACCUGAGAGGGUGAUCGGCCACGCUGGAACUGAGACACGGUCCAGACUCCUACGGGAGGCAGCAGUAGGGAAUCUUCCGCAAUGGGCGAAAGCCUGACGGAGCAACGCCGCGUGAGUGAUGAAGGUCUUCGGAUCGUAAAACUCUGUUAUUAGGGAAGAACAUAUGUGUAAGUAACUGUGCACAUCUUGACGGUACCUAAUCAGAAAGCCACGGCUAACUACGUG
This 497-nucleotide ribosomal RNA is filed under the name uncultured bacterium. RNAcentral describes it as "partial 16S ribosomal RNA". It matches the Rfam family "Bacterial small subunit ribosomal RNA", at positions 28 to 507 of the family's 1533-position model. The record is from RNAcentral.